This 501-nucleotide ribosomal RNA is filed under the name uncultured bacterium. RNAcentral describes it as "bacterial SSU rRNA". It matches the Rfam family "Bacterial small subunit ribosomal RNA", at positions 8 to 526 of the family's 1533-position model. The record is from RNAcentral.
AGAGUUUGAUCAUGGCUCAGAACGAACGCUGGCGGCAGGCCUAACACAUGCAAGUCGAACGCUGUAGCAAUACAGAGUGGCAGACGGGUGAGUAACGCGUGGGUGACCUGCCUCGAAGUGGGGAAUAACUGCCCGAAAGGGUGGCUAAUACCGCAUGUGACGGUGCGUUCGUUCGCACCAUGAAAGCCGCAAGGCGCUUCGAGAGGGGCCUGCGUUCGAUUAGCUCGUUGGUGGGGUAACGGCUCACCAAGGCGACGAUCGAUAGGUGGUCUGAGAGGACGAUCACCCAGACUGGGACUGAGACACGGCCCAGACUCCUACGGGAGGCAGCAGUCGGGAAUUUUGCGCAAUGGACGAAAGUCUGACGCAGCAACGCCGCGUGAGGGAUGAAGGCCUUCGGGUUGUAAACCUCUUUCAGUACCGACGAAGCGCCGAUGAUGGUGGUGACGGUAGGUACAGAAGAAGCACCGGCCAACUACGUGCCAGCCGCCGCGGUAAUAC